UACGGGGGGGGCAAGCGUUGUUCGGAAUUACUGGGCGUAAAGGGCUCGUAGGCGGCCAACUAAGUCAGACGUGAAAUCCCUCGGCUUAACCGGGGAACUGCGUCUGAUACUGGAUGGCUUGAGGUUGGGAGAGGGAUGCGGAAUUCCAGGUGUAGCGGUGAAAUGCGCAGAUAAUCAGGAGGAACACCGGUGGCGAAGGGCGGGGU
RNAcentral lists this ribosomal RNA (206 nucleotides) under uncultured bacterium. Its description in RNAcentral is "partial 16S ribosomal RNA". It matches the Rfam family "Bacterial small subunit ribosomal RNA", at positions 524 to 727 of the family's 1533-position model. The record is from RNAcentral.